UUUAUUCUAUUUUAAUAUUUAAUAGAAUAUAUUUUCAUUUUAUAUUUAUAUGAAUUCUGAAAUUCCAUUUCA
Molecule: transfer RNA, 72 nt
Filed under: Ipomoea asarifolia
Lineage: Eukaryota; Viridiplantae; Streptophyta; Magnoliopsida; Solanales; Convolvulaceae
Description: tRNA-Leu
Source: RNAcentral